RNAcentral lists this ribosomal RNA (469 nucleotides) under uncultured bacterium. RNAcentral's name for it is "bacterial SSU rRNA". It matches the Rfam family "Bacterial small subunit ribosomal RNA", at positions 331 to 793 of the family's 1533-position model. The record is from RNAcentral.
CCAGACUCCUACGGGAGGCAGCAGUGGGGACUCUUCCGCAAUGGGCGCCCGCCUGACGGCGCCCCGCCGCGUGCUCGCCUGAAGGCCUUCGGGUUGUAAAGCUCUGUUGACAGGGACGCAUAAGCAAUGCGACUCGUUUUGUGUCUGACGGUACCUGUUUAGAAAGCUCCGGCUAACUACGUGCCAGCAGCCGCGGUAAUCAGGAGGGCGCGCGCGUUAAUCGGAAUUACUGGGCGUAAAGCGCGCGUAGGCUGUUGUGUAAUGUGGGGGUGAAAUCCCACGGCUCAACCGUGGAACAGCCCUUGAUACUGCGCGACUUGAAUCCGGGAGAGGGUGGCGGAAUUCCAGGUGUAGGAGUGAAAUCCGUAGAUAUCUGGAGGAACAUCAGUGGCGAAGGCGGCCACCUGGACCGGUAUUGACGCUGAGGCGCGAAAGCGUGGGGAGCAAACAGGAUUAGAUACCCGCGUAA